RNAcentral lists this unclassified non-coding RNA (240 nucleotides) under soil metagenome. RNAcentral's name for it is "partial contains 5.8S ribosomal RNA, internal transcribed spacer 2, and large subunit ribosomal RNA". The record is from RNAcentral.
AACUGAUACUACCUGCGGGAACCUGCGGAAGGAUCGUUAACGAGUUUUGAAGUGGGAUUGAUGCUGGCCUUCCGAGGCAUGUGCUCGUCCUCGCUCAUCCACUCACAACACCUGUGCACUGUUGAGGUGUGGCCCCCCUUCAAUGGAGCCGUUCCCCCCUAGGGGGUCGAGCCGGGGUCAGGCCUUCUUCGUCACAAACAACUUGUAAUGUCUAUUCGGAAUGUAAUGCUUCAUGUUAAU